This 252-nucleotide ribosomal RNA is filed under the name uncultured bacterium. RNAcentral's name for it is "partial 16S ribosomal RNA". It matches the Rfam family "Bacterial small subunit ribosomal RNA", at positions 524 to 775 of the family's 1533-position model. The record is from RNAcentral.
UACGGAGGGGGCGAGCGUUGUCCGAAGUUACUGGGCGUAAAGCGCGUGUAGGCGGGUUGCCAAGUCCGCUGUGAAAGCCCGGUGCUUAACACCGGAUGGUCGGUGGAUACUGGCAGUCUUGAAGUGGCUAGGGGGAGAUGGAAUUACCGGUGUAGCGGUGAAAUGCGUAGAUAUCGGUAGGAACACCAGUGGCGAAGGCGGUCUCCUGGAGCUUACUUGACGCUGAGACGCGAAAGCUGGGGGAGCAAACGG